RNAcentral lists this small RNA (204 nucleotides) under Scytonema millei. Its description in RNAcentral is "c-di-AMP sequence". It matches the Rfam family "c-di-AMP riboswitch aptamer (ydaO/yuaA leader)". Rfam says of the family: This family represents a conserved RNA structure found upstream of the ydaO and yuaA genes in Bacillus subtilis and related genes in other bacteria. The ydaO/yuaA element is thought to act as a genetic "off" switch for the ydaO and yuaA genes in its native state. It is believed that the element may be triggered during osmotic shock leading to activation of ydaO, a predicted amino acid transporter gene, and members of the yuaA-yubG operon which code for KtrA and KtrB K+ transporters. Lineage: Bacteria; Bacillati; Cyanobacteriota; Cyanophyceae; Nostocales; Scytonemataceae. The record is from RNAcentral.
UCCAACGAAUCGCCGAAGCGUCAGUUGGAGCGGAGGAACCAACGUAUGGGGCGUAUCUCAUAGAAGAAGAAAAAAAGUGAAGAACAAAUAAGAACAAAUAAUAAUUGUAUCUUUAUUCGUUCUUGUUUCUUGCUUCUUCUAAGAGAGGGGCAUCUCUCAGCCCUAGCCCGUCAGCUAACUUCGUAGGCAAUGAGAGGAGACUGA